RNAcentral lists this ribosomal RNA (800 nucleotides) under Petrimonas sp. enrichment culture clone SJC6. Its description in RNAcentral is "bacterial SSU rRNA". It matches the Rfam family "Bacterial small subunit ribosomal RNA", at positions 61 to 856 of the family's 1533-position model. The record is from RNAcentral. Lineage: Bacteria; Pseudomonadati; Bacteroidota; Bacteroidia; Bacteroidales; Dysgonomonadaceae.
GUCGAGGGGCAGCACAUGAGUAGCAAUACGAUGGUGGCGACCGGCGCACGGGUGAGUAACACGUAUGCAACCUACCUUUAACAGGGGAAUAACCCGUUGAAAAACGGACUAAUACUCCAUAACACAGGGGUCCCGCAUGGGAAUAUUUGUUAAAGAUUAAUCGGUUGAAGAUGGGCAUGCGUUCCAUUAGCUUGUUGGUGAGGUAACGGCUCACCAAGGCCACGAUGGAUAGGGGAACUGAGAGGUUUAUCCCCCACACUGGAACUGAGACACGGUCCAGACUCCUACGGGAGGCAGCAGUGAGGAAUAUUGGUCAAUGGAGGCAACUCUGAACAGCCAAGUCGCGUGAAGGAUGAAGGUCUUAUGGAUUGUAAACUUCUUUUGCAAGGGAAUAAAGUGGGGGACGUGUCCUCCUUCGCAUGUACCUUGCGAAUAAGGAUCGGCUAACUCCGUGCCAGCAGCCGCGGUAAUACGGAGGAUCCGAGCGUUAUCCGGAUUUAUUGGGUUUAAAGGGUGCGCAGGCGGGAUGUUAAGUCGGCGGUGAAAUUUUGCAGCUCAACUGUAAAAGUGCCUUCGAUACUGGCUUUCUUGAGUGUGGAUGAAGUAGGCGGAAUUUGUGGUGUAGCGGCGAAAUGCUUAGAUAUCACGAGGAACUCCGAUUGCGCAGGCAGCUUACUAAACCACUACUGACGCUCAUGCACGAAGGCGUGGGGAUCAAACAGGAUUAGAUACCCUGGUAGUCCACGCAGUAAACGAUGAUUACUAGUUGUUUGCGAUACAAUGUAAGCGACUGAGCGAAA